RNAcentral lists this ribosomal RNA (292 nucleotides) under uncultured bacterium. Its description in RNAcentral is "partial 16S ribosomal RNA". It matches the Rfam family "Archaeal small subunit ribosomal RNA", at positions 455 to 747 of the family's 1478-position model. The record is from RNAcentral.
GUGCAGCCGCCGCGGUAACACCGGCAGCCCGAGUGAUGGCCGAUAUUAUUGGGCCUAAAGCGUCCGUAGCUGGCCGCGCAAGUUCGUCGGGAAAUCCACUCGCUUAACGAGUGGGCGUCCGGCGAAAACUGUGCGGCUUGGGACCGGAAGAUCCAAGGGGUACGUCCGGGGUAGGAGUGAAAUCCUGUAAUCCUGGACGGACCACCGAUGGCGAAAGCACCUUGGAAGGACGGAUCCGACAGUGAGGGACGAAAGCUAGGGUCCCGAACCGGAUUAGAAACCCGGGUAGUCC